AUAAAAUUGAAUAUAAAUAUUUCAAAUUAUGACCUGUUAACUCAGUAGAAAGUUUUCUUAAAUCUAUUUUCACCCGUUAUAAUAUUUUUCAUGUAUUGAACAGUUUAUAUUCGUUUUUAAAAAUUCAAAUUAUGGCAUAUGCGAAAAAACUCUAAUUAUUUUUUUAUAAUGAUGAUAUUAUUUUUUCGCAAAAAUAGAAUCAUAUAAAGAUGAGAAGUGAACUAUAAUAAUUAAUAAAAAAUUAAUAUGAUAAUUUAGAUAUCAAAUCUAAUUUGUUAAUUUUAAUUG
Molecule: small RNA, 288 nt
Filed under: Arabidopsis thaliana (thale cress)
Lineage: Eukaryota; Viridiplantae; Streptophyta; Magnoliopsida; Brassicales; Brassicaceae
Description: ATSL222140
Source: RNAcentral